RNAcentral lists this ribosomal RNA (274 nucleotides) under uncultured bacterium. RNAcentral describes it as "partial 16S ribosomal RNA". It matches the Rfam family "Bacterial small subunit ribosomal RNA", at positions 523 to 796 of the family's 1533-position model. The record is from RNAcentral.
AUACGGAGGGUGCAAGCGUUGUUCGGAAUCACUGGGCGUAAAGGGCGCGCAGGCGGUUUGGUAAGUCAGAUGUGAAAGCCCACGGCUCAACCGUGGAAGUGCAUUUGAAACUGUCAGACUUGAGUACUAGAGGGGAAAGUGGAAUUCCCGGUGUAGAGGUGAAAUUCGUAGAUAUCGGGAGGAAUACCGGUGGCGGAGGCGACUUUCUGGCUAGAUACUGACGCUGAGGCGCGAAAGCGUGGGGAGCAAACAGGAUUAGAAACCCCAGUAGUCC